AAUUAUCUUUGGGAUAGGUGUAAUUCCUGACCGGUGGUAAAAGUCCAUGAGCUUUUAUAAAGCAGAUUCGGUGUAAUUCCGAAACCGACGGUAUAGUAAGUCCGGAUGAGAAAAGGUGGUU
RNAcentral lists this non-coding RNA (121 nucleotides) under Clostridium neonatale. RNAcentral describes it as "FMN riboswitch aptamer (RFN element)". It matches the Rfam family "FMN riboswitch aptamer (RFN element)". From Rfam's summary of the family: The RFN element is a highly conserved domain that is found frequently in the 5'-untranslated regions of prokaryotic mRNAs that encode for flavin mononucleotide (FMN) biosynthesis and transport proteins. This element is a metabolite-dependent riboswitch that directly binds FMN in the absence of proteins. The record is from Rfam by way of RNAcentral. Lineage: Bacteria; Bacillati; Bacillota; Clostridia; Eubacteriales; Clostridiaceae.